This 1881-nucleotide long non-coding RNA is filed under the name Equus caballus (horse). RNAcentral describes it as "lncRNA (ENSECAG00000048121.1)". The record is from RNAcentral. Lineage: Eukaryota; Metazoa; Chordata; Mammalia; Perissodactyla; Equidae.
GUAAGUCAGCCGGGCUUGCAUGUAGGGUAAUGCUCGCAUUUCCCACACUUUGAAAGCUCCUCCUAAGGCAGAGGGGAGGGAAUUAAACUAGAAUGAGCUUGGGGCUCAUUCUGGCUGAAAGACUCACACCGGAGCCUGAGCCACAGCAGGUGUGUGAUCUGGAACCCCACCAAGCCUGUUCACCCCACAGCUGUGGGCGAAGGCAGAGCUGUCCUGCGGUUUCGUGCUGUGGCUGUUGCUCAGGUUGGAGAUGCUGUUCUGCAGACGCCUCGGCUGCAGUUGCCUUCGCAUGACGGGGACCCGCUCUCUGCAGCAGAGUGAUGAGACUACUGGAGUAUGAGCUGAGAACAGCUGGGCUCCGGAGGGAGUCUCUCACCGUUUAACCAAAGGUCACCCCUGCAGCCCUUCCUGUACCUGCCUGCGGAGAUGUGAGAAAGCAGGCAGCCCAGCAACUACAGUGUCUUCAGUUAUGAAAGGAGGCAACUGGCCUCUAUGACCGUGAAGGUCCCUUAUGGUGCUCUGAGCUGAUCUCACAUGACUUGCCAUGUCUGCACCUGGAAUCCAAACCUGUGAACCCCUGGCUGCCAAAGUGGAGCACGUGAACCUAACUGCUAUGCCACCAAGCUCGCCCAUGAGAGCAAUUUUUAAAAAAUUUUUUUUGUUUUACUUCCUGACAAAUAGGAAAGAUUGUUUCAGAAAUGAAGUUUAUUUUGGAGCCCCAUACAAAGAAUAAUAACAUGAAACUGUCUUUCCAUUCCUCUUUUAAUAUGUCUCUGCCAGGCUUUUUGAAUAUUUAACGUGCUUUCCUGUGACAUUUUAGAAAUUUUCAUUAAGGGCAUAUGGUUUAAAGCUUAAAAGCCAGGUUUUAGCAUCAGAUGGAUCUGAAUUGAAGUUCUUUCAUGGCCAUUUGUUAGCUGUGUGACCAAAGGCAAAUUAGGCAGCGCCUCUGAACCCCUGUUGUCUCAAACAUAAAUUGGGGAUAAUACAAAUACCUUUCUCAUGGGUUUCUGUGGGGAUUAAGUGAGAAAAAUGAGUGUUAAGAGCCUGGCAUGCGGUCUGGCACAUAGUAUGAACUCACUAGCUGCUCUCACCACCACCACCACCACCUGUGAAGUAGGAAAGGCCAAAGAGAAUCAACCCAUAUUGCAGAUAGAGAAACCAGAAUCCAUAUUUGACUGGCCAGAAACAGCAAGAGAACCGAGUUGCACCCGCUCGUCAAUUAAGCUGUCUUUAUUUAUUAGCUUCCUUCCCCCAUUGUGAACGUAAACCACAAAAGCAUCCAAACCCUGCUUUGGAAGAGUGUUGGAGUGGAUGGAGGGGCUUCGCCUCAGUGGGAGCAUCCAGGAGGAGGGAGAGCUUCCUUUCCACGUGCAACCAGAGGCGGACAUGCCGAAAGCUGAGUGUGACGGUGACACACUGGGUGUGAAUGUUCCAGCAAACAACUUGGAACCAGGGAGAAGAGGGAUGACGCUGUUCCAACUGGGUGGCUGACCGCAGCACUCUGCUCUCAUGGCAGAGUAAUCGGCGAGGACGCAACCUUUGUCUGAUUCCCCUGAUAUAGUCUGACCUGGAGCUGGGAGGGUUGGAAUUUUGUUUCCUUCUGUUUGGUUUUUAACGACAAAGAGGGAUGAAUGUGGGUUUGGGAGUGGGGGAAAGAUCCUGAGAGUAAGCGUUCAAAUGGCAGGUUUCAAGAGAACAAAAUUUUUUGCUUAUAUAAUAGCUUGUUCUUAUGUCUACCAAUAAAACAUAUCAAUACUCAAUUAAAUUUAUUGAUAAAUACUGAUAAAAUAAUAUAUAGGGAUUCACUUUGAGUAAUGGCCUACAAAUACUUACUUUUUAUGAUAGUGUACUAUAAUGAUCUACAUUUUCCAAGUUUUAAAA